UGCCUACGGGAGGCAGCAGUGGGGGAUAUUGCACAAUGGGGGAAACCCUGAUGCAGCAACGCCGCGUGAGUGAAGAAGGUCUUCGGAUUGUAAAGCUCUGUUCUUGGUGAAGAUAAUGACGGUAGCCAAGGAGAAAGCUCCGGCUAACUACGUGCCAGCAGCCGCGGUAAUACGUAGGGAGCGAGCGUUUUCCGGAUUUACUGGGUGUAAAGGGUGCGCAGGCGGCGCUGCAAGUCAGGCGUGAAAGCUAGGGGCUCAACCCCUAAAUUGCGCUUGAAAAUGUGGGGCUUUAGUGAAGGAGAGGG
This 305-nucleotide ribosomal RNA is filed under the name uncultured bacterium. RNAcentral describes it as "bacterial SSU rRNA". It matches the Rfam family "Bacterial small subunit ribosomal RNA", at positions 335 to 658 of the family's 1533-position model. The record is from RNAcentral.